Molecule: small nuclear RNA, 104 nt
Filed under: Prolemur simus (greater bamboo lemur)
Lineage: Eukaryota; Metazoa; Chordata; Mammalia; Primates; Lemuridae
Source: RNAcentral
GUGCUCGCUUCAGCAGCACAUAUACUAAAAUUGGAACGAUACAGAGAUUAGCAUGGCCCCUGCACAAGGAUGACACAAAAAUAUUAAAAACAAAAAAAAAAGUA